This 651-nucleotide ribosomal RNA is filed under the name uncultured archaeon. RNAcentral describes it as "bacterial SSU rRNA". It matches the Rfam family "Archaeal small subunit ribosomal RNA", at positions 508 to 1157 of the family's 1478-position model. The record is from RNAcentral.
GCCUAAAGCGUCCGUAGCCGGCUCUGUUAGUUUUCGGUUAAAUCCAUAUGCUCAACAUAUGGGCCGCCGGGAAUACUACAAAGCUAGGGAGUGGGAGAGGUAGACGGUACUCCGUAGGAAGGGGUAAAAUCCUUUGAUCUAUGGAUGACCACCAGUGGCGAAGGCGGUCUACCAGAACACGUUCGACGGUGAGGGAUGAAAGCUGGGGGAGCAAACCGGAUUAGAUACCCGGGUAGUCCCAGCUGUAAACUAUGCAAACUCAGUGAUGCAUUGGCUUGUGGCCAGUGCAGUGCCGCAGAGAAGUCGUUAAGUUUGCCGCCUGGGAAGUACGUACGCAAGUAUGAAACUUAAAGGAAUUGGCGGGGGAGCACCACAAGGGGUGAAGCCUGCGGUUCAAUUGGAGUCAACGCCAGAAAUCUUACCCGGAGAGACAGCAGAAUGAAGGUCAAGUUGAAGCCUUUACCAGACAAGCUGAGAAGUGGUGCAUGGCCGUCGCCAGCUCGUGCCGUGAGGUGUCCUGUUAAGUCAGGUAACGAGCGAGAUCCUUGCCUCUAGUUGCUACCAUUACUCUCAGGAGUAGUGGGGCGAAUUAGCGGGACUGCCGUAGUUAAUACGGAGGAAGGAGAGGGCCACGGCAGGUCAGUAUGCCCC